Molecule: transfer RNA, 65 nt
Filed under: Diaphanoeca grandis
Lineage: Eukaryota; Choanoflagellata; Acanthoecida; Stephanoecidae
Source: RNAcentral
GGUUAAAAUACGGCUGACAGACCUGCCCAGCUACCGCAAGUACCUGGGUGAUCUGUUGCUGGCAC